AUAUUUCUGUUGUCUAAUCUCAAUUGAGAGCGGGGGACCCACUUUUUUGGGGCGAAUCUAAAUUUUAGAAGAAGACCUUUACUUCUAGCCCGACAGCUAACUCCGUAGACUUUAAAUAAAGGACAG
This 126-nucleotide small RNA is filed under the name Halanaerobium hydrogeniformans. RNAcentral's name for it is "c-di-AMP sequence". It matches the Rfam family "c-di-AMP riboswitch aptamer (ydaO/yuaA leader)". From Rfam's summary of the family: This family represents a conserved RNA structure found upstream of the ydaO and yuaA genes in Bacillus subtilis and related genes in other bacteria. The ydaO/yuaA element is thought to act as a genetic "off" switch for the ydaO and yuaA genes in its native state. Lineage: Bacteria; Bacillati; Bacillota; Clostridia; Halanaerobiales; Halanaerobiaceae. The record is from Rfam by way of RNAcentral.